RNAcentral lists this long non-coding RNA (315 nucleotides) under Lathyrus oleraceus (garden pea). RNAcentral's name for it is "Pisum sativum (pea) long non-coding RNA (PSAT_LNC006929)". Lineage: Eukaryota; Viridiplantae; Streptophyta; Magnoliopsida; Fabales; Fabaceae. The record is from RNAcentral.
UGAAAUCUCCACAAUUAUUAACCAAUCCUAAAACAAUAUUAUCAAUUAAAAAUCUAAAACAAUUAUCAAUUAAAGUUCUAAAACAAUUAUCAAUUAAAAUUUUAAUUAACAUCCCAUUAAUAACAUCACUAUUCUAAAAAAUCAAACAAUCCACAAUACUAAAAUUCAAUCCAAAAUUCUAAUAACAAAAUUAAGGCUCUAAUAACAAAAUUCAAAUCAGAUUAACAAAUUAGCAGAAUUAAUGUUUAUUAGCAAGAUCAACAUGGGCCUAAACCACCCCAAGCCCAAGCAGGAGGGGGUGCAUUGGUCGAAAUG